RNAcentral lists this ribosomal RNA (254 nucleotides) under uncultured bacterium. RNAcentral describes it as "partial 16S ribosomal RNA". It matches the Rfam family "Bacterial small subunit ribosomal RNA", at positions 524 to 776 of the family's 1533-position model. The record is from RNAcentral.
UACGUAGGGGGCAAGCGUUAUCCAGAUUUACUGGGCGUAAAGCGCGUGUAGGCGGCUGGUUAGGUGUGAUGUGAAAUCUUCGGGCUCAACCCGAAAACUGCAUUGCAAACCGGCCUGGCUAGAGUGCAGGAGAGGGAAGCGGAAUUCCAGGUGUAGCGGUGAAAUGCGUAGAUAUCUGGAGGAACACCGGUGGCGAAGGCGGCAUCCUGGACCAACACUGACACUGAGGAGCGAAAGCCAGGGGAGCAAACGGG